Bombus pyrosoma is the source of this 3050-nucleotide long non-coding RNA. RefSeq lists it as uncharacterized. Lineage: Eukaryota; Metazoa; Arthropoda; Insecta; Hymenoptera; Apidae. The record is from RefSeq and is a predicted model, not a curated record. The transcript has 3 exons.
UAAAAUACAACUGGUACUGUCUUUCUAUUUUAUUUAAAAAAAUGUUAAAUGGUUCUCCAGUGUGAUUGUUUUAUAUCAAGGUGUAAAAAGAGUAUAACUAAAGGAAAAAAGGAAAAAAAGGAAGUUCUGGCAUUUCUAGUGUUAAAAGAAUUCUAUAGAGGAUAAUCGACUUUCAUAGCCCGGUUACAGAAAGGAUGUGGAAGAGCUGAAGUAGAACGUGUCGACAGAAGCAACUGGCACAAAUUUCGAUUACGUUGCAAUCCUAUAUGAAUUCCUGUACAUUUUAAAAACACUCGACAUACAGAUUAUACGAGCGACUCACUGUAUAGGAACAGCAUCGUUUACACGGAAAAAACAAACGUAUAGCACGAGGCGGUUUUAAAUAACGUCAGCGUAAAAAUUAGAAUUACCGAGUGACGUAUACUUUAUUGAAACAAGUGUUCUUGCUAAAUCUGGCGCGUCACGAUAAUAAGUCGAGUAAAUUGACGUGAACGUUUUUACAUCUAUUUCGAAUACAAUAAUAUGUUGGGCAGAUAAUUUGUAUUGUUGUAUUGUUGUAUUGUUGUAUUGGAAGUAGAGGAACCUUAUCUUAAAAACGUACCACAUAUACUAAAUGCGAGAAGUUGUUUAAAAAAAUGUAAAUAAGCGUAAUUUGGAAAGUGUAGCAAAAUCAUUGAAAAUACUUAUCUUAGUAGCAUAAAUACAUCGCAGAAGAUUUAGCCACGUGAGCGCGCGGUGUCCGAUUACUGAUGUAGCUGAAAUUUCAUGCUCUUCCUUCCUCUGUUUAAUCCCCGAAAUAAUAAUUACACAUAACAAAAUAGGAGUCGAGUUGAUCACGUAAAACAAAGAUACAAUCACAAGCGCGUAAAUAGUUGAUAUAUGUAUAACUGUAUAAGAUUAUAGAUUGGAAUAUCCUUGACGAGUCGCGCACCUGGAACCGGCAAGUGGGUCACUGUCAUUCCUUUUGAACGAUUUUCGAAGAGGAAGUCGCAAGCGGAUAAGGUGUCUCCAUCUCUGGCACGACUGGCACGCUGCUGGCCGCGAAGUUGACGUUGCAAAGUGCUGGAAAGAACUGGCCAACCAGAAGCCAACGAAACAAGAUUCCUACUAUUUCUUCCUCCUCUUGAGUCCACCGUUGCCUUCUGUUUCCUUGCCUUCCUUUAACUUUCUUCGACUUGUCUUGUGUUGCCUUGUCUUACCUUCCUUUGUCUUGUCUCGUAUCGUCUUGUUUUGCUUCGCCUUGCAUCGCCUUGCCCUGCCUUGCUUUGCCUCACUUUGCUCUGUUAACGUCACCGUAUUUACCUACCUACGCGAUCAUCGUGUCGUAGUUCGUCAUCUAACUUGUGUAGCAUCUGACGUCAUUCGAAAACUCAAACAACGUCAGAAACACCAUAUUAAUAUAUGCAUUAUAAUAUAAGACAUUAGAUAAGGCUUUACGAUGAUUAAACGCCAUUAAAAUUAAUGAUGAAAUAUCAUACAGUACACAUUAGUUAUAAUGAGAUGUUAUUCGUAUGAUAAUGGUUUUUCGAAUAUUCUACUUGUAUACCUUUUAUAGUUAUAUUUUUUUAUUACAUUUCAUCAAUAUUUCAAAUUCUUCUUCCUUUACUGAUCAAAAUAUGUAUGCAUAUAUAAUAUAAGGAAUUACAGCAUGAUUCGUAUCUGAUGUAACGUGAUUGUAACGGUAUAUAUGAUUUUAAAUUGCUUACAAUGAUUUAUAUACACAAUGUUUUAGUUCGAUUAGCAAACUGAAUAAAUGAUCAAUUGCUACAUGAUAAUAAAAAUAAAAUAAUGUUAUACGAUAUUAUUAUUAUAAAUAAUAGUAAAAUAUUGUGAAAAUAACAGUAAAAAUAUAAAAGUUGAUUAUAUAAGAUUCAAUAAGAUUAUUGAAAUUCACAAUCAAAUGUGAAAUGAUCAGAUAAUUUUGGAGAUGAUGCCUGAAGCUUGUAAUUAGCUAUGCGCAUCGCUUUAAUUUACGUAGUUAGAGACAAAAGAAAAAAUAUUUAGCCAGCUACUUUACUAACAGAGUAAAAAUUUGGGUAUUCAUGGUUUUGGCAUAAAAGGGAUAAAUCUGAAAGAUGACAGAUCGGUUAGAAAACGUUUGCAAUUUAUUUUCAAUAUCGUAUUUAUCGAAAUUAAUGCAUAAAAGCAGUGUAUACUGUAUAAGAAAUUUAGCAUUAUACAUCAAGAAUGCGACAUCUUAAUAAACAAUCUCUUGUUCUUUUUACGUGCGUGUUUGAUGCAAAACUAUCCUAAAAUAAUCCUAAAUGUCGAAAUAAAAGUUUAAUAAACGUGCACUUAAAAUUUAAUUUUUCAAAAUUGUAAGCAAUCAAAAAGUACAUAUAUAGUUAAUAUGUGUGAUUAAAAAUUCUUGAGAAAUAGAAAUGAAAAAAACGAAGAAAGAGUAAUGAAAGAACGAUAUACGCAAGGGACGAUUUGUGAAUGGAUCGAGAAGUAAAAUUGCGUAUGCUUACCGGAUUUGUUAUUGGUCCGAUUGUGUCCGACUGUUCGACUAUCCGGCUGCUGGUGUUGUACAUACAUACAUGCAUAUAGUAUAUAGCACUGUUAGCUCGGUUAACCUGGCCCAGAAACUAAGCCGGAACUACUGGAGGAAUCAAUGACCUUGGCACGAGUAACGCCAGGAUAUGCGAGGAAGAAAGUUCAAUUCGUAUUUGCUGUGCUAUGGAGCGGAAUCAAAAAUUUCACGCGUGCAAGUGAUUAAAUUUUUAUUCGGAAUAAAGAUGAUACAAUAUGAAAGUAGAGAUUUUGAGUUAUAAUAGAAUUUUAAAUAUGUGUCCAAAAAUAAUAGAAAGUUAAGUUUUAAUUAAUUUGCUUCAAUUUUCUAUGUUGUUUUGUUAAUUGGAUUCCUUAAAAUAAAAUAAUUUAAGCCAAGGGAAAUAUACAAUUUCUUAUUCCUUGAUAUACAUUUCUUUCGUUAUACUACGGGACACUUUUUUCGGGAAAAGUAAACGGGAAAGUAAAAAAAAUGGAAUUUAUUUUGUUAGUUAUAUUAUCGUUAUUAAUUAGCUAUAUAUUUUAUCGAAAUAUUUUAU